AUUUCUUUAGUAUACUAGUACAAAUGCCUUCCAAGCAUUAAGCCCCGCCAGGGAAGAAAUA
Molecule: transfer RNA, 61 nt
Filed under: Xenopeltis unicolor
Lineage: Eukaryota; Metazoa; Chordata; Lepidosauria; Squamata; Xenopeltidae
Description: tRNA-Gly
Source: RNAcentral